GGAGGAGCGCGGGGCGGGCGGGCGGCGGCGGCGGGCACCGGCGGGGCGGCGGCGGGCACCGGAGGCCUCCUCCCUUCUCGUGCACGGGGCUCGGCGGAGCUCCUGGGAGGGCGAGGGGGUGGAGAGGGCAGCCCGGGCGAGCCUCCCAAAUUCGCCCGGCCGGCUGGCGGCUGGAGCUGCCCGGCGCAGGGGUGGGGACCGGCCGCUUCCUUAAACGUGCGCGGCGGGGGGCGGCGGGGCCCGCACCGCCCCCGGGAGCCGGCCCGAGCCUCCCGGGCCGCGGCCGCAACACGUGGAGCAAACUUUCGAGGGACGGGCACCCGGCUGCAGCCGGCCACCGGGCACCGCAGCGCCGGGACCGCGCCGCAUGGAGCAGCUCGCCUCUUGCUGGAACAUUCCCACUGCUUUUCUUAAAGCUGAAUUCUUUGUAAAGGAGAAGUGACUAGAAACCCCAAACUGGGUCCCAGGUCUUGCUUAACUUUGUAAGGCACACUGACAUACUGACGCUGCUCCAGUUAAGGUAUGGUAUGGAUCAGAAACUCUAACAGCCGCUGUGGAAUGAGUGUGUUCACAUGAAGUCAUCCUGCAGUGACUAUUGCAGAAUAGUCAACUCCUCUUUGUAAGCAAGCCCCAAAAGAGAAUUCUUGUCCCAGUGACUGUGUGACUAGAUAAGAGAUAAUGGGCACAAGAAAGGCACCCUGCUAUCAGCUAAGGAUGGGCGCUGUUUGGCUGCGAACAACAACGAAAUUUGUGCUGCUCAAGGCCAUGCAGGACUGUCUCGGGGGUGUCCUUCCUUGCGGGCUGAUUCCAGGAAUGUGGCACUUUUGGAAUGGUUUGUUUUGGGACUUUCCGCUUUGACACCUGUGAUUGCUGAGACUGGCCUAUCAUAGGAAAGCCCAAACCCUCUGCUCCUCUCCAUGGGCAUUUCCUCUCUUAGCAACUCCAGUGUCUUCACCUGAUACUGAAAGAAGAUGGAAGAAAUUGAAUGUUUCCCUUGGCAAGAUGUGUGGAUGGAAUUGAUCUGUUUUCAAUCUGAUAUCUACCAAACCAACUAAGUACAAUCACCUCAGCUGCUAACACGUUGGAGAACAACAAUUUACUUGUUGUACUGAAAGCAGGAAGAUCUGGAAUGGGGUUUUGUAACUUUUUUGAUAUGACUCUGUGUUACAAUUUUUAUAUUUAUUAUCUGCAUCUUACUCAAAAUAAGAAUGUUUAUGUUAAAAUAAACAUUUUUACUCUGAAAUACUGGAAUGAGCCUGCCCAGCUUCUUCCUAUCUCAGCUCAGCCCCUUUGAAGAGAAUCAACUCAUGGAUUUUAAAGUCAGAAGGACCAGUCUGAACCUCAGAGGAUGCGCACAGAGCAAUCGCUGCAAUUCAUUCUGAAAUCAGUGCCCUGAUGAAUGGAUCUUUUUCUUAUGUGCUAUGGGAACUCUGCCUAUAUAAAUGUCUGAUAAACUGUUCCAAUGUUUUAUAACCUUGUCUUGUACCUUAUGGCAGCCCAGAAUUUCCCACUUAUGCCUCUUGUACAGCCACAGUGGAAGAAACCCUUCAUGUAUGUGACUGCGUAUGUUGAAUAGGAGAACAAGAAGGUUUGGUGUUAACUUUUAUACCAUCUGUUCUCAAAACAGCUCUAUUACAGCUGUCUUUCAGAGUGGAGAGCAGGCACAGCAGAAGUCCAUAGGGACACUUGGCUAGGGACUGAUAGGCAGGAGGGAUCCAGCCUGGCUGACCCCCCCCCCGUUACACCAUAGGGAACUCUCAGCAGCCAUGUGAGACCAUUUCUUAGUGUCCAGGCUAAGACACUAAGAUGUCAAGGACAAGAAAUCUGGCUGUUCUUUCCGAAAGUUCAGUGCCAUUUAGCACCUCUAAUCUGGCUUGGAAAAAUGCAUAAAUACCUACAAUAAAUACAUUUU
Cygnus olor (mute swan) is the source of this 1912-nucleotide long non-coding RNA. RefSeq lists it as uncharacterized. The transcript is spliced from 2 exons. The record is from RefSeq and is a predicted model, not a curated record. NCBI's taxonomy places the organism in Eukaryota, Metazoa, Chordata, Aves, Anseriformes, Anatidae.